This 203-nucleotide unclassified non-coding RNA is filed under the name rhizosphere metagenome. RNAcentral describes it as "partial ribosomal RNA internal transcribed spacer region". The record is from RNAcentral.
GUAGGUGAACCUGCGGAAGGAUCAUUGCAAGUGGAGAUUAAGGGUUGGUGGCAUUUAUGCGGCCAGCCAUUAAAUUAGGUCGUCUGCGGUGGUGUAUUGUUGUAGUGAUGGUAUAUCGCUCGCAGACAACAGCAGCGCGUGUGUGUGUGGCAGUCAAAAUACCGAAUUAUAUACAACUUUUAACAAUGGAUCUCUUGGCUCUU